ACAGCAACUUGAGGGUUGACGCCAGCCAUUUUGGCUGUGUUAGAGAGAAGAACUGCACAGAGGCAACUAGGGUUCUGCCCAAUUUUCUUCACCUGAGCACAGCAACUCUGAGAAACACUAGCAUUCUCAUCUUGUGCUGCUGAGGCACAUGGUGCAAGCUUAUAAGCCUCAUUAUCAGGGGUUGUAGAUUUCCCACAUUCACCAGCACUCUCCACCCCACCAAUAGUACUCACAAGCACCACAAACCCAACAAGGCAUAGCAACUUCUUCACACAACCCUCCAUUCUCAAUAUAUGUUUAUUUUUUAUGUCUCUCUAUU
RNAcentral lists this long non-coding RNA (319 nucleotides) under Glycine max (soybean). Its description in RNAcentral is "long non-coding RNA (GMAX_LNC001492)". The record is from RNAcentral. Lineage: Eukaryota; Viridiplantae; Streptophyta; Magnoliopsida; Fabales; Fabaceae.